Molecule: long non-coding RNA, 2002 nt
Organism: Hipposideros armiger (great roundleaf bat)
Lineage: Eukaryota; Metazoa; Chordata; Mammalia; Chiroptera; Hipposideridae
Exons: 2
Source: RefSeq, a predicted model, not a curated record
UCCCGGAUACGGCCCCGCCCCUAAACUUGCCCCUAUCCCCCGCUUGUAGGAAAGGAUUCCACACCUAUGGCGACUCUUCUCUUAAAGCCACUCUCAAUAGGAGGACCUUGGAGAGGGGACGGGCAGGUCAGGGGCGCGCUCCCCUGGGGCUUCUGCCCCAGUCGGCCUUGCCCCCCAGCGCCACCCACCGCACCUGCCCGCCCCCUUAGACGACACCUGGGUCUGCUCCAGCCCCACCCCACCCUGACCUGGGCCCUCAGGAGGAUGGAAGGGACAGGGUGCUCAGCUCUGCCACACGGUGACCUUGGGCGAGUCACUGAACUUCUCUGAGCUUCCAUGAAGGUAUCCUUACUGUUGCGUUUAGUUGUAUCGCUGUCUCCACCACAGAUGACCAAACGUAAGUCUUCGUUUUAAGUCCACUCUGGGAGGCACAUCAGAAGGAAGGGCCUCCCCCAGAGGCCGAAAGAGGACUAGAGGGGGCCUAGCAUGCCUAAGGUCACACGGCCUCAUGGCUCCCAUUAGUCUCAAAAGGAAACCCCUUUUCCAGGCUCCCUAAGACAGAUCUGCCAACUUGAGGGCUCAAAAGCCUCAAGAGACCUGUUUCUGAGGCUGGUGGGAAGGGGAGUCAAGCCAAGCCCACUGCAGGAGAGAGAGGGGACUGCCUCCAUUUUUACCAAGUCCCCAUUGUGCACUCCGGGUGGACCUAGACCCACGGUUCACUUUUUCACCCUGCCAGGAGGCUUUUGCUGCUCGUGGUACAAAGCUGUGCAAAUGGGCCAUGUCCCAUCCUGGACGUGAGCGUACACCUGAGGCCCUCCCUGCUAAAUGGGCUCAAGCAGCCCCUUGCCCUCUCUGGCCCCAUUCCUAGGCCAUUUGGGCAGCUCCUUGGGCCCACCACUCAGUCACUCAGGCCCAGGCAGGAGCUCCCAGCCUGCCUGAGGCUGACCCCCGGCCCACUGACCCCAGCCUUGGCGGGCAAGCAGGCAUUGCUCAAUCUUAAACGUUAUCUGCUGAGCUGGGGUGACCUCUGCCCUGGAGAGCUGGAGAAAUGACAUCUCCAGGAGCGCCCUUGAGGGGUGGGGGGCAGGGAGGGGGGGAUGAAACACUAACCUGGCCUGCUAGCUUUCUGGGCCUUCCCAGCACCUGGGAGGUAUCUGAGGCCCCAGGGCCCCAGGGCCCCUCAGCCCUGGGACACUCAGGUCUGAGCUGGAGGCUCACCGCCUCCAAGAUGCCCUCCCUGCCCCACUUGCUGGUGAACUUCCUGCCUGGCCCUUAUCUCCAGCUGCCAUUAUCCUAGUUGUCUUGUCUACCCCUCUCCCCGCGCAACUGACCACACCAUGAGGACUGUCCCUUCAGUACUGGAACUCCUGGGCUGGGCCUAUCCAAAAUUUACCAGCAAAUGAAUGCACUUCCUGUUCCCUCUGGACCAAGAAGAUUGUCCCCCCAGCUCUGCCCAAGGCUCAGCCCAAAGGUUACCACCUCGAAGAAGCCCUUCCUGACCUUCCCAUCAAAAGUCCCAGGCCCUCAAUCACUCCUUUCACACCCCCUGCUUUAUUUCCUUGACUGUUCUUAUGACUAUCAAAGUUAUUUUAACUACUCACCUUGCUUUCUGUCCCUGCUGCCUCCUUCCCAUGUCAGCCCCAACAGGGCAGGGAUUUUUUGUUUUGUUCACUGGUGUACCCCAGUGCCUAAAACAGUGCCUGGCACACAGAAGGUGCCUAAAACAGAUGAAGAAGGCUGAGUACAAGGUGAGGUCCCCCAUUAGCUGGGCUGUGUGACAUCAGGCAAGAUGGCUCCCCUCUCUGAGCCUCAGCACCUGCCUCCCAACUCUCAGGAUUCUGCGGAAGAUGCAGUGAGACCUGGUGGGGUCUGAAGGAAUCAGGUCCUAUUAUUAAUCUCCACUGUACAAAUGAGGAAACUGAGGCCCAGCAGAGCUAAGUGUUCCUGCUCAAGUUCACAUUAAAGAGGCGGGAAGGAUUAAAGUCCUUCCAGCCUGACCUUC